RNAcentral lists this ribosomal RNA (1057 nucleotides) under fungal endophyte. RNAcentral's name for it is "eukaryotic LSU rRNA". The stretch from base 479 to 1057 matches the Rfam family "Eukaryotic large subunit ribosomal RNA", at positions 1 to 591 of the family's 3401-position model. The record is from RNAcentral. Lineage: Eukaryota; Fungi.
GCUCUACAACCCUUUGUGAACAUACCUAUAACUGUUGCUUCGGCGGGUAGGGUCUCCGUGACCCUCCCGGCCUCCCGCCCCCGGGCGGGUCGGCGCCCGCCGGAGGAUAACCAAACUCUGAUUUAACGACGUUUCUUCUGAGUGGUACAAGCAAAUAAUCAAAACUUUUAACAACGGAUCUCUUGGUUCUGGCAUCGAUGAAGAACGCAGCGAAAUGCGAUAAGUAAUGUGAAUUGCAGAAUUCAGUGAAUCAUCGAAUCUUUGAACGCACAUUGCGCCCGCCAGCAUUCUGGCGGGCAUGCCUGUUCGAGCGUCAUUUCAACCCUCAAGCUCUGCUUGGUGUUGGGGCCCUACAGCUGAUGUAGGCCCUCAAAGGUAGUGGCGGACCCUCCCGGAGCCUCCUUUGCGUAGUAACUUUACGUCUCGCACUGGGAUCCGGAGGGACUCUUGCCGUAAAACCCCCCAAUUUUCCAAAGGUUGACCUCGGAUCAGGUAGGAAUACCCGCUGAACUUAAGCAUAUCAAUAAGCGGAGGAAAAGAAACCAACAGGGAUUGCCUCAGUAACGGCGAGUGAAGCGGCAACAGCUCAAAUUUGAAAUCUGGCCCUAGGCCCGAGUUGUAAUUUGCAGAGGAUGCUUUUGGUGCGGUGCCUUCCAAGUUCCCUAGAACGGGACGCCAGAGAGGGUGAGAGCCCCGUACAGUUGGACACCAAGCCUUUGUAAAGCUCCUUCGACGAGUCGAGUAGUUUGGGAAUGCUGCUCAAAAUGGGAGGUAUAUUUCUUCUAAAGCUAAAUACCGGCCAGAGACCGAUAGCGCACAAGUAGAGUGAUCGAAAGAUGAAAAGCACUUUGAAAAGAGGGUUAAACAGCACGUGAAAUUGUUAAAAGGGAAGCGCUUGUGACCAGACUUGCGUCCGGUGAAUCACCCAGCUCUCGCGGCUGGGGCACUUCGCCGGCUCAGGCCAGCAUCAGCUCGCUGUCGGGGACAAAAGCUUCAGGAACGUAGCUCUCUUCGGGGAGUGUUAUAGCCUGUUGCAUAAUACCCUUCGGCGGGCUGA